RNAcentral lists this ribosomal RNA (2904 nucleotides) under Escherichia coli. Its description in RNAcentral is "23S ribosomal RNA". It matches the Rfam family "Bacterial large subunit ribosomal RNA". Lineage: Bacteria; Pseudomonadati; Pseudomonadota; Gammaproteobacteria; Enterobacterales; Enterobacteriaceae. The record is from RNAcentral.
GGUUAAGCGACUAAGCGUACACGGUGGAUGCCCUGGCAGUCAGAGGCGAUGAAGGACGUGCUAAUCUGCGAUAAGCGUCGGUAAGGUGAUAUGAACCGUUAUAACCGGCGAUUUCCGAAUGGGGAAACCCAGUGUGAUUCGUCACACUAUCAUUAACUGAAUCCAUAGGUUAAUGAGGCGAACCGGGGGAACUGAAACAUCUAAGUACCCCGAGGAAAAGAAAUCAACCGAGAUUCCCCCAGUAGCGGCGAGCGAACGGGGAGCAGCCCAGAGCCUGAAUCAGUGUGUGUGUUAGUGGAAGCGUCUGGAAAGGCGCGCGAUACAGGGUGACAGCCCCGUACACAAAAAUGCACAUGCUGUGAGCUCGAUGAGUAGGGCGGGACACGUGGUAUCCUGUCUGAAUAUGGGGGGACCAUCCUCCAAGGCUAAAUACUCCUGACUGACCGAUAGUGAACCAGUACCGUGAGGGAAAGGCGAAAAGAACCCCGGCGAGGGGAGUGAAAAAGAACCUGAAACCGUGUACGUACAAGCAGUGGGAGCACGCUUAGGCGUGUGACUGCGUACCUUUUGUAUAAUGGGUCAGCGACUUAUAUUCUGUAGCAAGGUUAACCGAAUAGGGGAGCCGAAGGGAAACCGAGUCUUAACUGGGCGUUAAGUUGCAGGGUAUAGACCCGAAACCCGGUGAUCUAGCCAUGGGCAGGUUGAAGGUUGGGUAACACUAACUGGAGGACCGAACCGACUAAUGUUGAAAAAUUAGCGGAUGACUUGUGGCUGGGGGUGAAAGGCCAAUCAAACCGGGAGAUAGCUGGUUCUCCCCGAAAGCUAUUUAGGUAGCGCCUCGUGAAUUCAUCUCCGGGGGUAGAGCACUGUUUCGGCAAGGGGGUCAUCCCGACUUACCAACCCGAUGCAAACUGCGAAUACCGGAGAAUGUUAUCACGGGAGACACACGGCGGGUGCUAACGUCCGUCGUGAAGAGGGAAACAACCCAGACCGCCAGCUAAGGUCCCAAAGUCAUGGUUAAGUGGGAAACGAUGUGGGAAGGCCCAGACAGCCAGGAUGUUGGCUUAGAAGCAGCCAUCAUUUAAAGAAAGCGUAAUAGCUCACUGGUCGAGUCGGCCUGCGCGGAAGAUGUAACGGGGCUAAACCAUGCACCGAAGCUGCGGCAGCGACGCUGAUGCGUUGUUGGGUAGGGGAGCGUUCUGUAAGCCUGCGAAGGUGUGCUGUGAGGCAUGCUGGAGGUAUCAGAAGUGCGAAUGCUGACAUAAGUAACGAUAAAGCGGGUGAAAAGCCCGCUCGCCGGAAGACCAAGGGUUCCUGUCCAACGUUAAUCGGGGCAGGGUGAGUCGACCCCUAAGGCGAGGCCGAAAGGCGUAGUCGAUGGGAAACAGGUUAAUAUUCCUGUACUUGGUGUUACUGCGAAGGGGGGACGGAGAAGGCUAUGUUGGCCGGGCGACGGUUGUCCCGGUUUAAGCGUGUAGGCUGGUUUUCCAGGCAAAUCCGGAAAAUCAAGGCUGAGGCGUGAUGACGAGGCACUACGGUGCUGAAGCAACAAAUGCCCUGCUUCCAGGAAAAGCCUCUAAGCAUCAGGUAACAUCAAAUCGUACCCCAAACCGACACAGGUGGUCAGGUAGAGAAUACCAAGGCGCUUGAGAGAACUCGGGUGAAGGAACUAGGCAAAAUGGUGCCGUAACUUCGGGAGAAGGCACGCUGAUAUGUAGGUGAAGUCCCUCGCGGAUGGAGCUGAAAUCAGUCGAAGAUACCAGCUGGCUGCAACUGUUUAUUAAAAACACAGCACUGUGCAAACACGAAAGUGGACGUAUACGGUGUGACGCCUGCCCGGUGCCGGAAGGUUAAUUGAUGGGGUCAGCGCAAGCGAAGCUCUUGAUCGAAGCCCCGGUAAACGGCGGCCGUAACUAUAACGGUCCUAAGGUAGCGAAAUUCCUUGUCGGGUAAGUUCCGACCUGCACGAAUGGCGUAAUGAUGGCCAGGCUGUCUCCACCCGAGACUCAGUGAAAUUGAACUCGCUGUGAAGAUGCAGUGUACCCGCGGCAAGACGGAAAGACCCCGUGAACCUUUACUAUAGCUUGACACUGAACAUUGAGCCUUGAUGUGUAGGAUAGGUGGGAGGCUUUGAAGUGUGGACGCCAGUCUGCAUGGAGCCGACCUUGAAAUACCACCCUUUAAUGUUUGAUGUUCUAACGUUGACCCGUAAUCCGGGUUGCGGACAGUGUCUGGUGGGUAGUUUGACUGGGGCGGUCUCCUCCUAAAGAGUAACGGAGGAGCACGAAGGUUGGCUAAUCCUGGUCGGACAUCAGGAGGUUAGUGCAAUGGCAUAAGCCAGCUUGACUGCGAGCGUGACGGCGCGAGCAGGUGCGAAAGCAGGUCAUAGUGAUCCGGUGGUUCUGAAUGGAAGGGCCAUCGCUCAACGGAUAAAAGGUACUCCGGGGAUAACAGGCUGAUACCGCCCAAGAGUUCAUAUCGACGGCGGUGUUUGGCACCUCGAUGUCGGCUCAUCACAUCCUGGGGCUGAAGUAGGUCCCAAGGGUAUGGCUGUUCGCCAUUUAAAGUGGUACGCGAGCUGGGUUUAGAACGUCGUGAGACAGUUCGGUCCCUAUCUGCCGUGGGCGCUGGAGAACUGAGGGGGGCUGCUCCUAGUACGAGAGGACCGGAGUGGACGCAUCACUGGUGUUCGGGUUGUCAUGCCAAUGGCACUGCCCGGUAGCUAAAUGCGGAAGAGAUAAGUGCUGAAAGCAUCUAAGCACGAAACUUGCCCCGAGAUGAGUUCUCCCUGACUCCUUGAGAGUCCUGAAGGAACGUUGAAGACGACGACGUUGAUAGGCCGGAUGUGUAAGCGCAGCGAUGCGUUGAGCUAACCGGUACUAAUGAACCGUGAGGCUUAACCUU